UCGGGAAUUUUGGGCAAUGGGCGAAAGCCUGACCCAGCAACGCCGCGUGAAGGAUGAAGUAUUUCGGUAUGUAAACUUCGAAAGAAUAGGAAGAAUAAAUGACGGUACUAUUUAUAAGGUCCGGCUAACUACGUGCCAGCAGCCGCGGUAAUACGUAGGGACCAAGCGUUGUUCGGAUUUACUGGGCGUAAAGGGCGCGUAGGCGGCAAUUCAAGUCAUCUGUGAAAUCUCCGGGCUUAACUCGGAACGGUCAGAUGAUACUGCUUUGCUAGAGUGCAGAAGGGGCAAUCGGAAUUCUUGGUGUAGCGGUGAAAUGCGUAGAUAUCAAGAGGAGCACCUGAGGUGAAGACGGGUUGCUGGGCUGACACUGACGCUGAGGCGCGAAAGCCAGGGGAGCAAACGGGAUUAGAUACCCCGGUAGUCCCUGAGCGGGCUGGCAAGGCGCAU
This 447-nucleotide ribosomal RNA is filed under the name uncultured bacterium. Its description in RNAcentral is "bacterial SSU rRNA". It matches the Rfam family "Bacterial small subunit ribosomal RNA", at positions 355 to 825 of the family's 1533-position model. The record is from RNAcentral.